UGCGCAGGCGGGACUGCAAGUUGGAUGUGAAAUACCGAGGCUUAACCUCGGAACUGCAUCCAAAACUGUGGUUCUUGAGUGGAGUAGAGGUAAGCGGAAUUCCGAGUGUAGCGGUGAAAUGCGUAGAUAUUCGGAGGAACACCAGUGGCGAAGGCGGCUUACUGGGCUCUAACUGACGCUGAGGCACGAAAGUGUGGGUAGCAAACA
Molecule: ribosomal RNA, 207 nt
Filed under: uncultured bacterium
Lineage: Bacteria
Description: partial 16S ribosomal RNA
Rfam family: Bacterial small subunit ribosomal RNA
Source: RNAcentral